UACUCCAAAUUUGAUCAAAAUUAAAGCGAUAUUUGCUGUUCUAGUUCCGUUCUUCUUCGUUUUUCGGUUGUGCGCUGCGGGAGAAACUAUUGAUAACUUGACCUAUUUAACUUCGCAAGAAAUUUACUCAACUCGUUGGUACGAUCUGUCAACACAGCAUCGAAAAGAUAUGCUGAUAUUUUUAUGCCAAGCCCAGGCAACUUUUGAUUUGUCUGCCUAUAGAGCGUACCCAUUCAGAUUAAACACAGUUCUCCGGUUUGCCAGUACGGUCUACUCUGCGGCAAAUUUUCUGCGCACCAUAACUCAAAAAUGAUCAUUUCACGUUUAACAGUCGACGAGGUAACGCACCACUAUUAAUAAUAAUGUGCCUAGCGAAAUCACAACGAUGGUUCCUCAAGGUCCAUUUUGCUAAUCCCGAGAGAAAUGUCUACAAUGCAAAUCCGUUCACAGUCCACCGAGCCUUCACUGGUAAAAAUCCUCAAACCAUCAUCCAAAAGAACAAAAAUGGAGGACUUGGAAACACCAGAUGCCUGUGAAAAAGAUGCUCUCUUGAAACUGAAGAAGUUCAAUGGUGACGAUAAUGUUGUUUCUGCACACCCCAGAUUGUACCGAAUUGAAAACUCUCUCAAAAGAAACUAUCUUAGACGAACUCCAAGAUGAAGGUGUCAUUGAGGUUUCAAUCAUGAAAUCCAAAAGAAAUGAUGAACUUAUUCGUAACAAUUUGUACAUUCUAACCUUCAACUCUAGUACCACCCCAGAAAAGGUUAAAAUUGGAUUGUACCAACUUCGACAGUGAAAGUAGGAAAUAUAAAACAAAUCUUCUUUCUCUGAAAAAUCUUUUAAAUCUGGCACAUUAUUCUUUUAGACACAAAAUCGUAUAAAAUAUUUAUAAUGUAAAUUAUUAUGUAUUUAUG
Long non-coding RNA from Planococcus citri (citrus mealybug), 914 nucleotides. RefSeq lists it as uncharacterized. The record is from RefSeq and is a predicted model, not a curated record. The transcript has 3 exons. NCBI's taxonomy places the organism in Eukaryota, Metazoa, Arthropoda, Insecta, Hemiptera, Pseudococcidae.